CCUACGGUGGGCAGCAGUGAGGAAUAUUGGUCAAUGGACGUGAGUCUGAACCAGCCAAGUAGCGUGCAGGAUGACUGCCCUAUGGGUUGUAAACUUCUUUUAUGUGGGAAUCAAAUGUUCCACGUGUGGUGUUUUGUAUGUACCGUAUGAAUAAGGAUCGGCUAAUUCCGUGCCAGCAGCCGCGGUAAUACGGAGGAUCCGAGCGUUAUCCGGAUUUAUUGGGUUUAAAGGGAGCGUAGGUGGAUUGUUAAGUCAGGUGUGAAAGGUUGCGGCUCAACCGUGGAAUUGCAGCUGAAACUGGCAGGCUUGAGUACAGGAAAGGUGUGCGGAAUUCGUGGUGUAGCGGUGAAAUGCUUAGAUAUCACGAAGAACUCCGAUUGCGAAGGCAGUACACUGGACUGCAACUGACACUGAGGCUCGAAGGUGUGGGUAUCAAACAGGAUUAGAUACCCCAGUAGUC
RNAcentral lists this ribosomal RNA (460 nucleotides) under uncultured bacterium. Its description in RNAcentral is "partial 16S ribosomal RNA". It matches the Rfam family "Bacterial small subunit ribosomal RNA", at positions 338 to 795 of the family's 1533-position model. The record is from RNAcentral.